RNAcentral lists this ribosomal RNA (612 nucleotides) under uncultured fungus. Its description in RNAcentral is "eukaryotic LSU rRNA". It matches the Rfam family "Eukaryotic large subunit ribosomal RNA", at positions 37 to 665 of the family's 3401-position model. Lineage: Eukaryota; Fungi. The record is from RNAcentral.
AGCAUAUCAAUAAGCGCAGGAAAAGAAACCAACAGGGAUUACCUCAGUAACGGCGAGUGAAGCGGUAAUAGCUCAAAUUUGAAAUCUGGCCUCUUCGGGUCCGAGUUGUAAUUUGUAGAGGAUGUUUCGGGUACCGCCCCGGUCUAAAUUUCUUGGAACAGAAUGUCAAAGAGGGUGAGAGUCCCGUCUUGGACCGGCGGUAGGGCCUAUGUGAAACUCCUUCGACGAGUCGAGUUGUUUGGGAAUGCAGCUCAAAAUGGGUGGUAAAUUUCAUCUAAAGCUAAAUAUUGGCCAGAGACCGAUAGCGCACAAGUAGAGUGAUCGAAAGAUGAAAAGCACUUUGAAAAGAGAGUUAAACAGUAUGUGAAAUUGUUGAAAGGGAAGCGCUUGCAACCAGACUUGAGCGCGGCGGUUCCCCCAGCCUUUUGGCUGGGCUACUCCGUUGUGUCCAGGCCAACAUCGGUUCUGAGUGUCGGUUAAAGGCUCUGACAAUGUAUCUACCCACGGGUAGACUUAUAGGUCAGGGUGUCAUGCGGCACCUCGGGACCGAGGAACGCGCUUCGGCUCGGAUGUUGGCGUAAUGGUUGUCAGCGACCCGUCUUGAAACACGGA